AUUGAACGCUGGCGGCAGGCCUAACACAUGCAAGUCGAACGGAGCGGCGGACGGGUGAGUAAUGCCUAGGAAUCUGCCUGGUCGUGGGGGAUGGGGUCCGGAAACGGGCGCUAAUACCACAUACUAUCAGCAGAGCCUAGGUCGGAUUAGCUAGUUGGUGGGGUAAGGGCCUACCAAGGCGACGAUCCGUAACUGGUCUGAGAGGAUGAUCAGUCACACUGGAACUGAGACACGGUCCAGACUCCUACGGGAGGCAGCAGUGGGGAAUAUUGGACAAUGGGCGAAAGCCUGAUCCAGCCAGGCCGCGUGUGUGAAGAAGGUCUUCGGAUUGUAAAGCACUUUAAGUUGGGAGGCGUUACCAACAGAAGAAGCACCGGCUAACUUCGUGCCAGCAGCCGCGGUAAUUC
Molecule: ribosomal RNA, 407 nt
Filed under: uncultured bacterium
Lineage: Bacteria
Description: partial 16S ribosomal RNA
Rfam family: Bacterial small subunit ribosomal RNA
Source: RNAcentral